GCUUAAGGAUAGAAGUACCCAGAAUUCAGUAGCAGAAAAAAUAAGAGGACUAUGAUGGACAACCUCAGUCCUACUUUGUUUUACAUUAAUUUUUACUCCUUCACCCUUCUGAUCCCACAGUCUCUCUCGGUUCUCCUCCAAAUUUGCCUUUGAACUCCAGAUUCUUAACCACCAUCUGCCUUAUCUGCUGAGAUUUUUCUGUUGUCAUUCUUUUCUGAUUCGCAGACCCUUCACCCAUUUAUGGCCAAAAUGCAGAGCUUCAAGAGUUCCGCCAUGCAACAGCCAUGCACAUGCUAGCCGGGGAAUAGAUAGGUGUUCCACCAUUUGGGGGCACCCUGAGCUAUGUGCUUCUUGUUUCUGCCAUUAUAAUGUAGUCCUAAAGUACUAUUUGACCUAGAUAUUGUUGGUGACAGCCUAGAGGAUACCUAGAUACCCAUGAUUUUCCAAAGUCACAUACUACAGAAAGAAAAGGAAAAAAAGAAAAAAACACAAGACAAGACAGUCAUGGGAAAAAAUACUUUGGGUAUGUGUAUCUUCAUUAGACUAAUCCAUGGUUUACAUAAGAGCCCAUUAUCCACCCACUCAGAACCUAUUUACAUUUCCCAUCUUUCUACUCUUGGAUGGAACAAGUUUCUUCAAUUCAUUUAUUGUAACUAAAGGUCUGUGGUGCUAUAGAAAAAGACUAGAACUUGGGGGUCAAAAAAUCCAUGCUUGAAUCUUGACCUUCCACUAUUUCAUGAACUCAGGAAAGCCAUUCAAAUUACCUUGUCCUCAGGGUCUUCAUCUGUAAACAUAUUAGAAAAAAAAAAUCCUACACUUCUACCUCAUACAUAAUCGUAAUACCAAAUGAGUUAAGGGAAAAUUCUUAGAAUAUUCAAAAAAUUUUAUAAACACAACUUUGAUAGUUGUUACCUAAUUUGUAGUCUAUCAUCAUUGGCCUCUUUAAAUAUUUUAUAGAUUUUUUUUCCUCUAUCUUGUUUUGAGAUGCAAUAGCCAGACUUCAAUACCCAGAAGCGAGCUUGAUACAUACUAGGCGCAUAAUUAGAAUUGUUUGACAAAUGAACUAAAUAUCCCACAUUCUGAUACAUCACUUAAUUUAAGACUAAUGUUUCUGUGUUUUUAUUUUCAAUUCCCUUCUUGAUCUGCCAAUAUACUCAAGGGUUACAUCAAACAGUGGUCUACAAAAAUGUAUCUUUUAUGAGACUAAUGGAUAACUAGAUUUAUUUUUCUAUAAGCAUGGAUUUUAUUAUUUUUUUCCUAAGUGAAUUACCUUUCAUUGCCCACAUUGAAUAUCAUCUACCACUUUUCUGCCCACUCAUGCAGGCUGGCAAGUUUUCCCUGUAGUUUAUCUCCAUCUGCUUGGCAUUUCACUACCUGGAAGAGCUUAGUGUCAUCUGCAAACUUGGAUAAUUCACCAUGCAUUCCCUCUUCCAAAUCAUUUAUGAAAAUGUUAAAUAAGACAGGUUCCAGGGCCAAUCCCUAAGAAACCAAACUGUUUUUUGCUUCUCCACUCGGAAGAGCUCUCAUUUAUCUCUAGAUUAUGUUUUUCUUUCCCCUUGUUAAAAUAAGCUUUGUAUAAUCACUAUAUAUUGAUACAUGCAUGUGUUUCUUAUGAGUAAUAAAGCUACUUGAGGCCUGGGGAUACAAAAUUAUCCAAAAUGUGUUUUUUUUCCAUAAAACCCUUAGGAGACAGCUAACUUGAAUAGUAAAGAGGAAGCAGAACAGAUAGGACACUCUGGACCCUUUGGACUCUACUUGCAAAAAAUAAAUAAAUCUUUGUUUUGAUCUACUUUAUAGAGCAAGACAUCGAUUUGUGAACAAAAAGAAAAAUCUGUAAAAAGAAAAAAAAAAAACUAGAGCCUUAAAAAUAUCACUAGUCCAGAGAAAAAGCAAUAGAGUCAGGAUCCCAAGAUUUGUACUUUGUCUUGUACUCUGCUAUGUGCCACCACUGUAUUCUUAGAUGAGUAACCUAACCUUACUGAUACUCUGGUUCCUAAACUGUAAAACAAGGAAAAUAAGCUCUAAUUUGUCUCUCUCUUGCAUAUGUUGUGAUGAAGAGGAUGAAGUGAUAUAAUGUAUUUGAAGUGGAUUAUAGGGAUGCCUGGGUGGCUCAGUGGUUCAGCAUCUGACUUUGGCUCAGGGCAUGAUCCUGGAGUUCUGGGAUCGAGUCCCACAUUGGGCCCCUGCAAGGAGUCUGCUUCUCCCUCUGCCUAUGUCCCUGCCUUCUCUCUGUGUAUCUUUUGAAUAAAUAAAUAAAAUCUUAAAAAAAAAAAGAGAAGUGGAUUAUAGUAUUCAUAAAGAAGGGAGAUUUUCUGGAUGUAUACAGAAGGUGCAAGGGUACCAGCACUUUUAGAGGUAAUGUAAUUCAGAUAUUCCAAGGGCACGAGCUGGAAAGGGGAACUAAAAAUGUCAGGAGGCAGCUGACAUAAUGAGAAAGUGAACAUAGCGAGGAACUUUGUCUAUAAGAUGAAAUUUGAGAAAAAAAUAGGAGAGUAAAAGAGAUGGAAGGAGAUUAUGAUUAGAGGGAAAUACUGGAUAUCAAGAUUUCUGAGAAAGAGACCUAAGAGUGGCGGCUGUAUUGAGGCUGAAGUCAAGGAUGUAGGAGUCAAGAAAUCAAGGUCUGGUAAAUCAGUUCAUUAUAAAGACUGUCCAAAAAUGCAUUUAUCUCCUCAAUGGAGGUAGAGAAGGAAAAUAGUGAGUUGGUCCUAACAUCUUCAAAAGUGGUGGUGGGGGGCGGGCUUUAGGAGAGUCAUGGAUGGCAGCACUGAAGAGGGCACAAAGCAACACUGACAAACGAAAAGAACCCCAAAGGAAGACCUCAAACAGGAGGAUGGAGAUUGCCACCUGAGCCAGAAGAUCAUCCAUCCCACCCCACCCAUGGUUUAUGGACUCUUAGGUAAGGGGAACAGGGCAAGUUUGGCACUCAAAGGAGUGCCUAGAUUCAAGCAUGGAGACUCAGGUAUAGAAACAUUCUGUUAAAAGGUUGACCCCACAGGAUAUUGUUUACAAAAACACAAGGUUUUCUGCCUAAGCAGACAAGCUGGAAGGAGUUGCGGUGAGGCAGUGCAGAGAGCAAUGGAAAGGCAAAAUAAAGGGGAGAAGAUGUGGAAUGAAAAUGGACUCUUAUCAAGAUUUCAGGGGUUAAAAACAGAUUUUGGUGUGGCAAAAAAAAAAAAAA
RNAcentral lists this long non-coding RNA (3178 nucleotides) under Canis lupus familiaris (dog). RNAcentral describes it as "lncRNA (ENSCAFG00000050456.1)". The record is from RNAcentral. Lineage: Eukaryota; Metazoa; Chordata; Mammalia; Carnivora; Canidae.